UACGAGCCAUUAAGCGUUAUCCGGAAUUAUUGGGCGUAAAGCGUUUGUAUUCGGACGAGUGUGUUUAAUGUUAAAUCUUAAAGCUCAACUUUGAAAUUGCGUUAAAAACUGCUUGUCUUGAGUAUGGCAGGGGUAAAGGGAAUUCCCAGUGUAGCGGUGAAAUGCGUAGAUAUUGGGAAGAACACUAAACAGCGAAGGCACUUUACUAGGCUAAUACUGACGCUGAGAAACGAAAGGUAAGGUAGCGAAACGGAUUAGAUACCCGUGUAGUCUUACCCGUAAACUAUGGACACUAAACGGUAAAUUUUUAAUUUACUGUUAAAGCUAACGCGUUAAGUGUCCCGCCUGGGGAGUAUGCUUGCAAAAGUGAAACUCAAAGGAAUUGACGGGGGCCCGCACAAGCGGUGGAGCAUGUGGUUUAAUUCGACGGUACACGAAGAACCUUACCAGGAUUUGACAUGCUAGAUAGUUGCUUGAAAGAGUAACGUGCCGUAAGGAAUCUAGACACAGGUGGUGCAUGGCUGUCGUCAGUUCGUGUUGUGAAAUGUUGGGUUAAGUCCCGCAACGAACGCAACCCUUGUCUUUAGUUAUUUUCUAAAGAGACUGCCUGUAAUAAACAGGAGGAAGGUAAGGAUGAGGUCAAGUCAUCAUGCCCCUUAUGUCCUGGGCUACACACGUGCUACAAUGGGAAAGACAAUGAGCUGCAAAUCUGUAAAUUUAAGCAAAUCUCUUAAACUUUCUCGUAGUUCGGAUUGUGGGCUGCAACUCGCCCACAUGAAGUUGGAAUCGCUAGUAAUCGCCAGUCAGCUAUAUGGCGGUGAAUCCGUUCCCGGGCCU
This 837-nucleotide ribosomal RNA is filed under the name uncultured bacterium. RNAcentral describes it as "bacterial SSU rRNA". It matches the Rfam family "Bacterial small subunit ribosomal RNA", at positions 524 to 1381 of the family's 1533-position model. The record is from RNAcentral.